UACGGGGGGGGCAAGCGUUGUUCGGAAUUACUGGGCGUAAAGGGCUCGUAGGCGGCCAACUAAGUCAUACGUGAAAUCCCUCAGCUUAACUGGGGAACUGCGUGUGAUACUGGAUGGCUUGGAUUUGGGAGAGGGAUGCGGAAUUCCAGGUGUAGCGGUGAAAUGCGUAGAUAUCUGGAGGAACACCGGUGGCGAAGGCGGCAUCCUGGACCAACACUGACGCUGAGGAGCGAAAGCCAGGGGAGCAAACGGG
RNAcentral lists this ribosomal RNA (253 nucleotides) under uncultured bacterium. RNAcentral's name for it is "partial 16S ribosomal RNA". It matches the Rfam family "Bacterial small subunit ribosomal RNA", at positions 524 to 776 of the family's 1533-position model. The record is from RNAcentral.